CUCAACAUGGCCGCGCAUUCGGUCGCUCAGAGGAAUCAUUUCCUUAUUUGACUACUUACGUCUUAAACACUGUGUCAACAGCUUCUGCUCUCACUAAAUAUUCUCACCCGUGAACAAUGGCAUUUAAUGACAUACCCGUCGACACUUUAAAAAGAAUAUUAGGCGCUUUCUCUCCAUAUCAUUAAGUAUCUCAAAUGCGCACACUGUGGACUUUUACACGCGUGAUGUUUGGAGUACGUUUAAGUGAGUCCAGAGGAAGUGUUUUGUGCUUACAGUUCCACACAAGACCGCAUGAGAGCGAUAGAAGAGCAUGCAGACAUUUGCGACAGGGCAGGAUAGAGAUAAAUGGAAACAGAGUGGCUGUGAAGUGGUGAAUGGAGUAUGGAUGAGUGGAGAUGGCAAGCCUUGUUUACCCAAACACUUCUUUCCUCGCUAUGCUAAGUCGAUGCAUGGGAAAGACCACACAUCGAAAGGGGGAAUGAUUAUGGUGUGCUACUUGAUCGCAAUCUUUCCUUAGAAAGCCACGUUUCUAGCAUUUGUAAAACUGCAUUUUUCCAUCUCAAAAAUAUAUCUAAAUUACGGCCUAUGCUCUCAAUGUCAAAUGCAGAAAUGUUAAUCCAUGCAUUUAUGACUUCAAGGUUAGACUACUGUAAUGCUUUAUUGGGUGGUUGUUCUGCACGCUUGGUAAACAAACUACAGCUAGUCCAAAAUGCAGCAGCAAGAGUUCUUACUAGAACCAGGAAGUAUGACCAUAUUAGCCCGGUCCUGUCCACACUGCACUGGCUCCCUAUCAAACAUCGUAUAGAUUUUAAAAUAUUGCUUAUUACUUAUAAAGCCCUGAAUGGUUUAGCACCUCAGUAUUUGAAUGAGCUCCUUUUACAUUAUACUCCUCUACGUCCGCUACGUUCUCAAAACUCAGGCAAUUUGAUAAUACCUAGAAUAUCAAAAUCAACUGCGGGCGGCAGAUCCUUUUCCUAUUUGGCGCCUAAACUCUGGAAUAACCUACCUAACAUUGUUCGGGAGGCAGACACACUCUUGCAGUUUAAAUCUAGAUUAAAGAUCCAUCUCUUUAACCUGGCAUACACAUAACAUACUAAUAUGCUUUUAAUAUCCAAAUCCGUUAAAGGAUUUUUAGGCUGCAUUAAUUAGGUAAACUGGAACCGGAACACUUCACAUAACACCGUACUUUCUACAUCAUUAGAAGAAUGGCAUCUACGCUAAUAUUUGUCUGUUUCUCUCUUGUUCCGAGGUCACCGUGGCCACCAGAUCCAGUCUGUGUCCAGAUCAGAGGGUCACUGCAGUCACCCGGAUCCAGUACGUAUCCAGACCAGAUGGUGGAUCAGCACCUAGAAAGGACCUCUACUGCCCUGAAAGACAGCGGAGACCAGGACAACUAGAGCCACAGAUACAGAUCCCCUGUAAAGACCUUGUCUCAGAGGAGCACCAGGACAAGACCACAGGAAACAGAUGAUUCUUCUGCACAAUCUGACUUUGCUGCAGCCUGGAAUUGAACUACUGGUUUCGUCUGGUCAGAGGAGAACUGGCCCCCCAACUGAGCCUGGUUUCUCCCAAGGUUUUUUUCUCCAUUCUGUCACCGAUGGAGUUUCGGUUCCUUGCCGCUGUCGCCUCUGGCUUGCUUAGUUGGGGUCACUUCAUCUACAGCGAUAUCGUUGACUUGAUUGCAAAUUAAAACCGACACUAUUUCAACUGAACAGAGAUGACAUCAAUGAAUUCAAUGAUGAACUGCCUUUAACUAUCAUUUUGCAUUAUUGAGACACUGUUUUCCAAAUGAAUGUUGUUCAGUGCUUUGGUGCAAUGUAUUUUGUUUAAAGCACUAUAUAAAUAAAGGUGAUUGAUUGAUUGAUUGAUUAUGCAAAUUAAAGAAUUGUGGUUUACAAA
Molecule: long non-coding RNA, 1899 nt
Organism: Carassius gibelio (silver crucian carp)
Lineage: Eukaryota; Metazoa; Chordata; Actinopteri; Cypriniformes; Cyprinidae
Exons: 2
Source: RefSeq, a predicted model, not a curated record